This 459-nucleotide ribosomal RNA is filed under the name Triticum aestivum (bread wheat). RNAcentral describes it as "partial small subunit ribosomal RNA". The record is from RNAcentral. Lineage: Eukaryota; Viridiplantae; Streptophyta; Magnoliopsida; Poales; Poaceae.
AUACCCCCACCAAACCCUCAGCCUGGUCCCUAUGACAAUCCAUUGUAUGGUGCUAGCUCUGGCCUGAUUAAAACUGGGUUAGGAGUAUAUGGGGAGAAGUUCCCCGGCUCCAGUUCAGAAUUCAUGCACAGCAAUAUCAGUAGAUACUUCUCCAACCCAUAGUACUACUUCCAUGUGAAUGAUCAGUAUGUCAGGAACAAGUUGAAAGUCAUAUUGUUUCCGUUCCUUCACACGGGGCACUGGACUCGGAUAAGUUAGCUUGUGGGUGGCCGGCUGUCCUACAAACCUCCGAUGUACGACAUAAAUGCGCCAGAUCUGUACAUCCCUUUCAUGGCGUUUGGUACCUUCAUUAUUAUUGCAGGUUUCACACUGGGCUUCAUGGGAAAUUUCACUCCAGAAGCCAUAAACCUUCAGUUCACAAGAGGACUGAUCAGAUGGGGCCUACAAAUCAUCGCCUAG